CAGGACUAUCAUAUUGGGGACCGUCUUCUCUGCUCUCCCUUUAUGGGGGUCGGGAGAACGAUGGGUCAAGGGUUGUCCGAAGAAAGCGAGAAAGCGACGGGCGCCUUCAAAAGCCCCCUUGGCGAUGGGUUACAGUAAGAGGUACUUCCAGGCUUGGGCAUCUGCUGGAAACAGGGGUGGGUAGGGUCGUGUCAUCUAAAGGCGCAGCCUCAACCAGAAGACUGGAAGUCAGCCAGGAGCUGGGAGUAGUUUCACGCGGGGUGGGGGUUCCUAUGAGCAUCACUUUACAAAACCAGGAGGGACGGAAGCGAGAGGGGGCAGGGUCUUGGGAACAGGUCCUGGGGCAACUGCAACAGAAUAUAACCGCCGCGUGUAGGGGAAGGGGGCGCCAGGGAGAGGGCGCAGUCUCUGAAUCUUUCCACGGCAUCCAUCCUAGGGCCCCUCCCGGUUCAACGGUCUCCUAACCUGUAGUUACCCACAAGAGCGUGCCCCUUCUGCCCGCCCUUCCUAGCAUUGCUCCUUGCUUGGCCAAGCCCUGCGGAGUUUCUCGCCUCUAAACCCCGCCUCUCCUUGCAACAUGUGUUGGCCUCAUCUACCCAGCAACUGUCGACGUCACACGACCUGGACCUCCCUGAAUGGGAGAUAUUUACUAGACAAUCCCGCCUACUGUUCUGAGGUUUCCCCUCCAGGUGCCGCUUCGCAGCCAGGCGAACCAGGAAGGACCGAAGCAGGCGAGGUGGAAGUCUGCAUUAUCAUGAGGAGCUUGGAAAGGAGGUAACACACUCAAAGUAAAUUUCGAGUAACUCCUUCUAGAGGCAGCUGCCUACUCUGCAGCUGUGGUUCUCCACCACAGAGAGAAGAAAAGGGAGGGAGAUGGAGUGCGCAGGUCUGAGAAGGCUUUCAUUCUGGAGCGUCUGCAGGAGCCUGUACCAUGGCCCAGUAGCACCCCUUUUUCUCCAUGAGCUGCUGGUGGGUUCCCCCCUCCCGGAUAGUGCCUCCUUCCAGAAAGAGGAUGUGGUCAGCCUGCUCCACCAGGCUGAGGUUCUGGGUGAUGAGAAGCACUGAGCGAGAGUACCGCUCAGGACUUUCGUACAGGAGCUGCUCCACCUGAGGAAAGACAUCGGACCGUCAGAGCUGGGAGCCCAGGGAGCCACCUUUGUUUCCAGGGCUGGGACUGACCUCACAGGAUCACUGCUGACUCUGCCAACAACCCUAAGGACACCAAAGUUUCCCAUUCUGAGUACUUCUCUGCAAACCCUUUGUUUCAUAAGAACUGUUUUAAAUGAAGGGUGCGAAAGUGGGAUAAAAGUGAGAGUCCUAGAGUGAAACACAUGACAGAAAAAUAAAGACUAUUGAAUAGUCCUCUUCUCUA
Chlorocebus sabaeus (green monkey) is the source of this 1372-nucleotide non-coding RNA. The record is from RefSeq and is a predicted model, not a curated record. NCBI's taxonomy places the organism in Eukaryota, Metazoa, Chordata, Mammalia, Primates, Cercopithecidae.